GAUGAACGCUGGCGGCGUGCCUAAUACAUGCAAGUCGAGCGAACGGACGAGAAGCUUUCUUCUCUGAUGUUAGCGGCGGACGGGUGAGUAACACGUGGAUAACCUACCUAUAAGACUGGGAUAAAUUCGGGAAACCGUAGCCAAUACCGGAUAAUAUUUUGAACAGCAUGGUUCAAAAGUGAAAGACGGUCUUGCUGUCACUUAUAGAUGGAUCCGCGCUGCAUUAGCUAGUUGGUAAGGUAACGGCUUACCAAGGCAACGAUGCAUAGCCGACCUGAGAGGGGGGUCGGCCACACUGGAACUGAGACACGGUCCAGACUCCUACGGGAGGCAGCAGUAGGGAAUCUUCCGCAAUGGGCGAAAGCCUGACGGAGCAACGCCGCGUGAGUGAUGAAGGUCUUCGGAUCGUAAAACUCUGUUAUUAGGGAAGAACAUAUGUGUAAGUAACUGUGCACAUCUUGACGGUACCUAAUCAGAAAGCCACGGCUAACUACGUG
Molecule: ribosomal RNA, 497 nt
Filed under: uncultured bacterium
Lineage: Bacteria
Description: partial 16S ribosomal RNA
Rfam family: Bacterial small subunit ribosomal RNA
Source: RNAcentral